RNAcentral lists this ribosomal RNA (253 nucleotides) under uncultured bacterium. RNAcentral's name for it is "partial 16S ribosomal RNA". It matches the Rfam family "Bacterial small subunit ribosomal RNA", at positions 524 to 776 of the family's 1533-position model. The record is from RNAcentral. RNAcentral also lists the same sequence under 1 other name.
UACGUAGGGGGCAAGCGUUGUCCGGAAUCACUGGGCGUAAAGCGCGCGCAGGCGGUCUUUCACGUCCGGGGUGAAAGCCCAGAGCUCAACUCUGGGAUUGCCUUGGAUACGGGGAGACUUGAGGAUCGGAGAGGCAAGGGGAAUUCCACGUGUAGCGGUGAAAUGCGUAGAGAUGUGGAGGAACACCUGUGGCGAAGGCGCCUUGCUGGCCGAUUUCUGACGCUGAGGCGCGAAAGCGUGGGGAGCAAACAGG